This 1213-nucleotide ribosomal RNA is filed under the name Escherichia coli. RNAcentral's name for it is "partial 23S ribosomal RNA". It matches the Rfam family "Bacterial large subunit ribosomal RNA", at positions 344 to 1563 of the family's 2925-position model. Lineage: Bacteria; Pseudomonadati; Pseudomonadota; Gammaproteobacteria; Enterobacterales; Enterobacteriaceae. The record is from RNAcentral.
GGAAAGGCGCGCGAUACAGGGUGACAGCCCCGUACACAAAAAUGCACAUGCUGUGAGCUCGAUGAGUAGGGCGGGACACGUGGUAUCCUGUCUGAAUAUGGGGGGACCAUCCUCCAAGGCUAAAUACUCCUGACUGACCGAUAGUGAACCAGUACCGUGAGGGAAAGGCGAAAAGAACCCCGGCGAGGGGAGUGAAAAAGAACCUGAAACCGUGUACGUACAAGCAGUGGGAGCACGCUUAGGCGUGUGACUGCGUACCUUUUGUAUAAUGGGUCAGCGACUUAUAUUCUGUAGCAAGGUUAACCGAAUAGGGGAGCCGAAGGGAAACCGAGUCUUAACUGGGCGUUAAGUUGCAGGGUAUAGACCCGAAACCCGGUGAUCUAGCCAUGGGCAGGUUGAAGGUUGGGUAACACUAACUGGAGGACCGAACCGACUAAUGUUGAAAAAUUAGCGGAUGACUUGUGGCUGGGGGUGAAAGGCCAAUCAAACCGGGAGAUAGCUGGUUCUCCCCGAAAGCUAUUUAGGUAGCGCCUCGUGAAUUCAUCUCCGGGGGUAGAGCACUGUUUCGGCAAGGGGGUCAUCCCGACUUACCAACCCGAUGCAAACUGCGAAUACCGGAGAAUGUUAUCACGGGAGACACACGGCGGGUGCUAACGUCCGUCGUGAAGAGGGAAACAACCCAGACCGCCAGCUAAGGUCCCAAAGUCAUGGUUAAGUGGGAAACGAUGUGGGAAGGCCCAGACAGCCAGGAUGUUGGCUUAGAAGCAGCCAUCAUUUAAAGAAAGCGUAAUAGCUCACUGGUCGAGUCGGCCUGCGCGGAAGAUGUAACGGGGCUAAACCAUGCACCGAAGCUGCGGCAGCGACGCUGAUGCGUUGUUGGGUAGGGGAGCGUUCUGUAAGCCUGCGAAGGUGUGCUGUGAGGCAUGCUGGAGGUAUCAGAAGUGCGAAUGCUGACAUAAGUAACGAUAAAGCGGGUGAAAAGCCCGCUCGCCGGAAGACCAAGGGUUCCUGUCCAACGUUAAUCGGGGCAGGGUGAGUCGACCCCUAAGGCGAGGCCGAAAGGCGUAGUCGAUGGGAAACAGGUUAAUAUUCCUGUACUUGGUGUUACUGCGAAGGGGGGACGGAGAAGGCUAUGUUGGCCGGGCGACGGUUGUCCCGGUUUAAGCGUGUAGGCUGGUUUUCCAGGCAAAUCCGGAAAAUCAAGGCUGAGGCG